Molecule: long non-coding RNA, 581 nt
Organism: Papaver somniferum (opium poppy)
Lineage: Eukaryota; Viridiplantae; Streptophyta; Magnoliopsida; Ranunculales; Papaveraceae
Exons: 3
Source: RefSeq, a predicted model, not a curated record
GACAGAUAUCGCAGCUCCUUAUCACCUGAAAGUGCCGAGGCAUUGAUAACAACUCGUGAUUGGAUAUAUGGAAUCGGAGCUGCAUCAACUGAUGUUGAGGAAGUGAAAGAUAAUGAUAUUAGUGAGGAUGUAUUGGCAUUUGAUCCGGCAAACAACAAUGAGGCAAUUCAUACUGGAGCAUCUUGAAGUGAUACACUUCUAGACACAAUUACAAAGAUACAUGGAAAAAGAACAUUUUUUGGGCACUGAUUUAGGAAAUAUUUUGGACUUCCAUAUGAUAUCACUGUCUCCUAUUUUUUGUAUAAAUAUGAAGGGAGACACUAACGAUAUAUAUUGUAUAUGUGACUGCAUAUGAGGGUUUAGGACCUUUAGGUUGUGAUUCAAGAUUUCAAAGUCAGUUCAGUAGACGGUAGCUUCAGUUCAGUACUUCAGUUUGUCCACUUUUGUAUAUAAAAGGACAAACAUAGAUAAUAGUUACUGUCACUUUGAGGAUUCUUAUAUGAAUCACAAUCCUGGACCUAUAUCCUUAAUUCCUUAUUAAUGAAUAUGAUACUUUUUGUGCAGGAAUAAGGAAUUGGUUG